RNAcentral lists this ribosomal RNA (466 nucleotides) under uncultured bacterium. RNAcentral describes it as "partial 16S ribosomal RNA". It matches the Rfam family "Bacterial small subunit ribosomal RNA", at positions 28 to 507 of the family's 1533-position model. The record is from RNAcentral.
GACGAACGCUGGCGGCGCGCCUAACACAUGCAAGUCGAACGAGCGAGAGAGAGCUUGCUUUCUCGAGCGAGUGGCGAACGGGUGAGUAACGCGUGAGGAACCUGCCUCAAAGAGGGGGACAACAGUUGGAAACGACUGCUAAUACCGCAUAAGCCCACGGCUCGGCAUCGAGCGGGGGGAAAAGGAGCAAUCCGCUUUGAGAUGGCCUCGCGUCCGAUUAGCUAGUUGGUGAGGUAACGGCCCACCAAGGCGACGAUCGGUAGCCGGACUGAGAGGUUGACCGGCCACAUUGGGACUGAGACACGGCCCAGACUCCUACGGGAGGCAGCAGUGGGGAAUAUUGCACAAUGGGGGAAACCCUGAUGCAGCGACGCCGCGUGGAGGAAGAAGGUCUUCGGAUUGUAAACUCCUGUUGUUGGGGAAGAUAAUGACGGUACCCAACAAGGAAGUGACGGCUAACUACGUG